Molecule: unclassified non-coding RNA, 343 nt
Filed under: soil metagenome
Description: partial contains 5.8S ribosomal RNA, internal transcribed spacer 2, and large subunit ribosomal RNA
Rfam family: 5.8S ribosomal RNA (bases 1-120)
Source: RNAcentral
GUUGAAGAACGCAGUGAAAUGCGAUAAGUAAUGUGAAUUGCAGAAUUCAGUGAAUCAUCGAAUCUUUGAACGCACAUUGCGCCCGCUAGUAUUCUGGCGGGCAUGCCUGUCCGAGCGUCACUUCAACCCUCAAGCCCCCGGGCUUGGUGUUGGGGAUCGGCGAGCCUCCGCGCCCGCCGUCCCCUAAAUCUAGUGGCGGUCUCGCUGUAGCUUCCUCUGCGUAGUAGCACACCUCGCACUGGGAAACAGCGCGGCCACGCCGUUAAACCCCCAACUUCUGAACGUUUGACCUCGGAUCAGGUAGGAAUACCCGCUGAACUUAAGCAUAUCAAUAAGCGGAGGA